RNAcentral lists this long non-coding RNA (220 nucleotides) under Lupinus angustifolius (narrow-leaved blue lupine). RNAcentral describes it as "long non-coding RNA (LANG_LNC003680)". The record is from RNAcentral. Lineage: Eukaryota; Viridiplantae; Streptophyta; Magnoliopsida; Fabales; Fabaceae.
AUUAUUGUUCAUCCUCAACCACACAAGCUGGGGCAGUUUUUUGAAGUGAGGGUCAUAACCUCUGUUUAGAAAGAUUAUCGUGAAGACUAUGACAAAGAUACUGGGGCAAUUUAUUGGACGAUCCAACUCUUCCAAUAAAUUCUUAACAUGACACUGGGGCAGAACGGGUGGUGAGGUGCUGGCAGAUAGUCACUUUCAACCAUGUCCAACAUGGGUCGCA